CACGUAGGGGGCGAGCGUUGUUCGGAAUUACUGGGCGUAAAGGGCAUGUAGGCGGUUCUGUAAGCCUGACGUGAAAGGCUAUGGCUCAACCAUGGCAUUGCGUUGGGAACUGCGGGACUUGAGUCACGGAGAGGGAGCUGGAAUUCCAGGUGUAGGGGUGAAAUCUGUAGAUAUCUGGAAGAACACCAGUGGCGAAGGCGAGCUCCUGGCCGAUGACUGACGCUGAGGUGCGAAAGUGUGGGGAUCAAAC
This 250-nucleotide ribosomal RNA is filed under the name uncultured bacterium. RNAcentral describes it as "partial 16S ribosomal RNA". It matches the Rfam family "Bacterial small subunit ribosomal RNA", at positions 524 to 773 of the family's 1533-position model. The record is from RNAcentral.